This 408-nucleotide ribosomal RNA is filed under the name uncultured Chitinophagaceae bacterium. Its description in RNAcentral is "bacterial SSU rRNA". It matches the Rfam family "Bacterial small subunit ribosomal RNA", at positions 506 to 916 of the family's 1533-position model. Lineage: Bacteria; Pseudomonadati; Bacteroidota; Chitinophagia; Chitinophagales; Chitinophagaceae. The record is from RNAcentral.
UGCCAGCAGCCGCGGUAAUACGGAGGGUGCAAGCGUUAUCCGGAUUCACUGGGUUUAAAGGGAGCGUAGGUGGGUUGGUAAGUCAGCGGUGAAAUCCCCAAGCUUAACUUGGGAACUGCCAUUGAUACUAUCAAUCUUGAAUUCUGUGGAGGUAAGCGGAAUAUGUCAUGUAGCGGUGAAAUGCUUAGAUAUGACAUAGAACACCGAUAGCGAAGGCAGCUUACUACGCAGAUAUUGACACUGAGGCUCGAAAGCGUGGGGAUCAAACAGGAUUAGAUACCCUGGUAGUCCACGCCCUAAACUAUGGAUACUCGACAUCAGCGAUACACUGUUGGUGUCUGAGCGAAAGCAUUAAGUAUCCCACCUGGGAAGUACGUCCGCAAGGGUGAAACUCAAAUGAAUUGACGG